This 428-nucleotide ribosomal RNA is filed under the name Bacillota bacterium. RNAcentral describes it as "Firmicutes bacterium partial 16S ribosomal RNA". It matches the Rfam family "Bacterial small subunit ribosomal RNA", at positions 355 to 776 of the family's 1533-position model. Lineage: Bacteria; Bacillati; Bacillota. The record is from RNAcentral.
UAGGGAAUCUUCGGCAAUGGACGGAAGUCUGACCGAGCAACGCCGCGUGAGUGAAGAAGGUUUCGGAUCGGAAAGCCCUGUUGGUUGAGAAGAACGUUGGUAGGAGGGGAAAAUCUUCCAAGUGACGGUAAAUAAACAGAAAGGGACGGCUAACUACGUGCCAGCAGCCGCGGUAAUACGUAGGUCCCGAGCGUUGUCCGGAUUUAUUGGGCGUAAAGCGAGCGCAGGCGGUUCUUUAAGUCUGAAGUUAAAGGCAGUGGCUUAACCAUUGUACGCUUUGGAAACUGGAGGACUUGAGUGCAGAAGGGGAGAGUGGAAUUCCAUGUGUAGCGGUGAAAUGCGUAGAUAUAUGGAGGAACACCGGUGGCGAAAGCGGCUCUCUGGUCUGUAACUGACGCUGAGGCUCGAAAGCGUGGGGAGCAAACAGG